ACAAAAUGUAUCUCUCUCGCUUUCAUUCUCUGAUCUAUGUUGUGGUUUUAUUUCAAAAUAGCAGCUUCUGCAUUCCGCGUCGUGCCGUCCGAUAUUAAACAGCCUGCAGAUUUCACCCAUGCCCGGCCUGAUCGAGUUACAGCGAGAGAAGACUGACUACAGCGCGGCCCGAAUUCUGUUUGUGGCGCAGUCUCGACCCGCAUUCGAUUGCCGUUACUGUGAGCGGCGAAGAUGAAGUUUGAUCCCUGCGAAAAGGUCGUCGGAGCCCGCUUUAAACAGGCCGUGCUGUCGCCCCGCCGCCCAGAGCAUGCUGGCUUCGUAGCAACCCCCCCGGCGCCAUGGUAACGGCUGCCUAUGUCAUCGCGGAGGAGCGAGGACCGGGAGGAGGACCUUGCCUGAUUUCUUCGUCAUGGCGCUUGGGUGGAAGAAACAGGAAACCGGCAGCGAGAUUCCAUGCAAAUUACAUUCCACGUUUGAUGUGCGGACUGGACUGGGACGGUUCUGGAGUCGAGAUCUCAACCCCGCAACGUACUAUAGCGUAAAAGGUCGUUUGGUUGCGCCUCGAUGGCGACUUUUCACUUGCAGUGUAGUUUUGGUGAGUUCCGGUUGUCUGCUGUCCAAAGAGGCGCAACGUGAGACGAGUCUGGGUUCAGAAUCGGGUAGCCUCCAAAUUUUAAGGAGGUAAAAACAACAACCUGCAAAUCAAUCAUCGCUAACUACAAGAAGGACGACGGGGCUCUCAGUUCCUGCCUGCUUAAAAACACAAUCUCGCGGCUCUGCUCUGUGUCAGCGCUGUCGAUGCGUGGCCUGAUUAGGGCAGGAGGCGACAGGAUGUUGACACUGUACACACCGGCGUGUUGUGCGCUCGCCGUCGGGUUGAUAAUCCUGCUCAAAAUCAAGACGGGACCAAACGCUGAUAAUGGUUUGAGGUCAGGGGUGGCUAAACAUUUGCGCCCCGUGGCCGACGAUUGUUUUGAAAAUGGACAGAUGGGGCGGGUCAUUCGUAGAUGAGGAAAUAAUGAUUGAAAGAAAAAGAUGUAUUUAAAAAAAAAAAAAAAAAAGCCCUUUCAUUGGACUUGAGGCAAGCCCAAAAACUUCUGGCCGCUCUCAUGGACCCUGAAGUUCUCUGUUAAGGGAUUAAGGCUUGAAUGAACGGCCCCAAGUGCGGCCGAUAAGUGGGGAGAACCCGCCCGUCACAAAGGGGGCUCAUGUGAAGGUGGGCCGGUCCAGCAUGAGUACAAUUACGGGGCUGUUUUCGGGAGGACCGACCCCCCCGCAAGUGAACCCGACCAGAAUGUCUUCCGUUCUCAUCGACUGAUUGCAGCACGGACAAAAUACUGGUCACUUCCUUCGCUAUCAAUGACCAUAUGAUGUCAUAUCGCACUUCAUGCGCUUCCUAUUCAUAUUUUGUAAAGUGUCAAAAAUGAGUCGGAGGAGGUAACAAACUGGACCAAAAUAUUUAUGUCAACGACAACAAAAAAACUGCAAACAUGUCAUUCAACAAAGUCUGAAACGUAUGAGAAUUAAUUUGUAAUAACUCAUGUUCAAUUUGUCAUGUAAUAAUACAACAAUACUGGAGCCAAAGGGCGGCACGGUGGUAAAGCUGGAAAAGCGUUGGCCUCACAGUUCUGAGGACCCGGAUUCGAUCCCGGCCCCGCCCGUGUGCCGUUUGCAUGUUCUCCCCGUGCAAAGGUGGGUUUUAUCCGGGAACUUCGAUUUCCUCCCACAUGCCCAAAACAUGCAACAUUAAUUGGACAUUCUAAAUUGCCCCUAGGUGUGAUUGUGAGUGCGGCUGUUUGUCUCUAUGUGCCUUGCGAUUGGCUGGCGACCAGUUAAGGGUGUAACCCCGCCUCCUGCCCGUUGACAGCCGGGAUAGGUUCCAGCACUCCCCGCGACCCUCGUGAGGAUAAGCGGCAAAGAAAAUGGAUGGAUUGAUUGGGCCAAAGUUAAUCUAGCAAAGAAAGCCAUAUUUCAACAAAAGCAUUUCAAAAUAAAUGUCAUUCUUGAAAUAUUCCUCCUUUUUAUGCCUGCGAAAACUUGUUUUCUCGCUCGAGUGUAUUCUUAAAAGAACUUUUUAUUCUUG
This is a long non-coding RNA of Syngnathoides biaculeatus (alligator pipefish), 2083 nucleotides long. RefSeq lists it as uncharacterized. The record is from RefSeq and is a predicted model, not a curated record. The transcript is spliced from 3 exons. Lineage: Eukaryota; Metazoa; Chordata; Actinopteri; Syngnathiformes; Syngnathidae.